GGAUGUGAGGGCGAUCUGGCUGCGACAUCUGUCACCCCAUUGAUCGCCAGGGUUGAUCCGGCUGAUCUGGCUGGCUAGGCAGGCGUCCCCUUCCUCCCUCAAUGCUCCAUGUGCGUCCCUCCCGAAGCUGCGCGCUCCAUCGAAGAGGACAAGCACCCCCGAUAGAGGAGGACUGUUCCUCAGUCAAGGGUAUACGAGUAGCUGCGCUCCCCUGCUAGAACCUCCAAACAAGCUCUUACAAGAGAGAUUAACUUAAAGGAACAAGAAUUAGACCAGCUGAUUCAUCUUCAAAGGAAAAACACGUUGAUCUGU
RNAcentral lists this small nuclear RNA (312 nucleotides) under Chinchilla lanigera (long-tailed chinchilla). RNAcentral's name for it is "7SK RNA (ENSCLAG00000021975.1)". It matches the Rfam family "7SK RNA". Rfam says of the family: 7SK was discovered as an abundant small nuclear RNA in the mid-70s but a possible function has only recently been suggested. Two independent studies have found that 7SK RNA binds the CDK9/cyclin T complex (known as elongation factor P-TEFb). Lineage: Eukaryota; Metazoa; Chordata; Mammalia; Rodentia; Chinchillidae. The record is from Rfam by way of RNAcentral.